GUUAAUUGAUUAUGACGUACUUGUACUGAUUGAGAUUUUAACACGAAGUGAGUGGCGAACGGGUGAGUAACACGUGGGUAACCUGCCCAGAAGUAGGGGAUAACACCUGGAAACAGAUGCUAAUACCGUAUAACAGAGAAAACCGCAUGGUUUUCUUUUAAAAGAUGGCUCUGCUAUCACUUCUGGAUGGACCCGCGGCGUAUUAGCUAGUUGGUGAGGUAAAGGCUCACCAAGGCAGUGAUACGUAGCCGACCUGAGAGGGUAAUCGGCCACAUUGGGACUGAGACACGGCCCAGACUCCUACGGGAGGCAGCAGUAGGGAAUCUUCCACAAUGGACGCAAGUCUGAUGGAGCAACGCCGCGUGAGUGAAGAAGGGUUUCGGCUCGUAAAGCUCUGUUGUUAAAGAAGAACGUGGGUAAGAGUAACUGUUUACCCAGUGACGGUAUUUAACCAGAAAGCCACGGCUAACUACGUGCCAGCAGCCGCGGUAAUACGUAGGUGGCAAGCGUUAUCCGGAUUUAUUGGGCGUAAAGCGAGCGCAGGCGGUCUUUUAAGUCUAAUGUGAAAGCCUNUCGGCUCAACCGAAGAAGUGCAUUGGAAACUGGGAGACUUGAGUGCAGAAGAGGACAGUGGAACUCCAUGUGUAGCGGUGAAAUGCGUAGAUAUAUGGAAGAACACCAGUGGCGAAGGCGGCUGUCUGGUCUGCAACUGACGCUGAGGCUCGAAAGCAUGGGUAGCGAACAGGAUUAGAUACCCUGGUAGUCCAUGCCGUAAACGAUGAUUACUAAGUGUUGGAGGGUUUCCGCCCUUCAGUGCUGCAGCUAACGCAUUAAGUAAUCCGCCUGGGGAGUACGACCGCAAGGUUGAAACUCAAAAGAAUUGACGGGGGCCCGCACAAGCGGUGGAGCAUGUGGUUUAAUUCGAAGCUACGCGAAGAACCUUACCAGGUCUUGACAUCUUCUGACAGUCUAAGAGAUUAGAGGUUCCCUUCGGGGACAGAAUGACAGGUGGUGCAUGGUUGUCGUCAGCUCGUGUCGUGAGAUGUUGGGUUAAGUCCCGCAACGAGCGCAACCCUUAUUACUAGUUGCCAGCAUUAAGUUGGGCACUCUAGUGAGACUGCCGGUGACAAACCGGAGGAAGGUGGGGACGACGUCAAAUCAUCAUGCCCCUUAUGACCUGGGCUACACACGUGCUACAAUGGAUGGUACAACGAGUCGCGAGACCGCGAGGUUAAGCUAAUCUCUUAAAACCAUUCUCAGUUCGGACUGUAGGCUGCAACUCGCCUACACGAAGUCGGAAUCGCUAGUAAUCGCGGAUCAGCAUGCCGCGGUGAAUACGUUCCCGGGCCUUGUACACACCGCCCGUCACACCAUGAGAGUUUGUAACACCCAAAGCCGGUGGGGUA
Molecule: ribosomal RNA, 1406 nt
Filed under: Pediococcus pentosaceus
Lineage: Bacteria; Bacillati; Bacillota; Bacilli; Lactobacillales; Lactobacillaceae
Description: bacterial SSU rRNA
Rfam family: Bacterial small subunit ribosomal RNA
Source: RNAcentral